RNAcentral lists this long non-coding RNA (470 nucleotides) under Eucalyptus grandis. RNAcentral's name for it is "long non-coding RNA (EGRA_LNC005820)". Lineage: Eukaryota; Viridiplantae; Streptophyta; Magnoliopsida; Myrtales; Myrtaceae. The record is from RNAcentral.
GAAUGACUGAUCCCCGAAAUACCGGAUUUGACACUAAAUCGAACCCCUAAAUCAAUGGGGAAGACAAGCCCGGGAAAACGAACACGUAUCACCGAUCCUAAAGCACGCCACGGAUUCGAGCGUACCUUUUAGCCACAGAUUAAACACCAAUGCCGAUUGAGGAAGAAAAUCCGGUCGAAUUCGAUCCGAUGAAGCCUUGAAGGGAAGAAUUAGAAGCCGUAUGCCUACUGUUCCUUUUGAGAGGGAAAACGCGCGGGAGAGAAAAGACGUGCGUAAUUUCUUAUUCCAACAGACGUCUUCUCUCUCUCUCUCUCUCUCUCUCUCUCUCUCUCUCUCUCUCUCUCUCUCUCUCUCUCUCUCUCUCUCUCUCUCCCUUUUAUACCUCCCCCCAUCCACGGGCCAUAUUCCCGUGGGCCGGGCUCUCUUGGCCCAACUUGGGCGGACGGGCCUUAAGCCCAAAUUAAAUAAAG